UUCCUAUUUGAAAAAAAAAUAAUAGGUAGGCCCUGCCCCAUGAAAUUUAAAUGGCCGCUCUUGUGCUAAGGUAGCAAAAUCAAUUGCCAUUUAAUUAAUGGCUGGUAUGAAUGGGUUCACAAAAAGAUAACUGUCUCACUUUCUUUUUCAAAAACUAACCUUCAAGUGAAAAGGCUUGAAUCACUAUAAAAGACAAAAAGACCCUGUCGCGCUUAAAAAUAAAAUUUUUUUAAAAAAAAAAUAUUUUUUUUAGUUGGGACGACUUCUGAUUAACUUUAUCACCAGAAAAAAUUUUUUGAGUUUAGGCUCUCCCUUUUGACCCGAUUAAGAUCAAAUGAAUUAGCAACCGCAGGGAUAACAGACUAAUUUUCUUACUAGAGCCCAUAUCGACUAAGAAGGUUGGCACCUCGAUGUUGGCUUAGGGGAGCAGCUAGAUGCAGCAAUCUGGCUUUGGAGGUUUGUUCAACCUAUAAAUCCCU
Molecule: ribosomal RNA, 479 nt
Filed under: Anelassorhynchus sp. RG-2015-5
Lineage: Eukaryota; Metazoa; Annelida; Polychaeta; Echiuroidea; Thalassematidae
Description: partial 16S rRNA
Rfam family: Bacterial large subunit ribosomal RNA
Source: RNAcentral